Molecule: RNA transcript, 2679 nt
Organism: Hyposmocoma kahamanoa
Lineage: Eukaryota; Metazoa; Arthropoda; Insecta; Lepidoptera; Cosmopterigidae
Exons: 9
Source: RefSeq, a predicted model, not a curated record
GACCCAGAAACCCAACAAAACCACAAUGGAUAUAUAUUUAAUAUGUUUCGUCUUUGUAACAAACACUUUGUAGAAUGUUAUAAAUCCAAACACAGUCACCGGCUAACAAGAAAUGCAGUUCCAACAUUGUAUCUUGUAUGCUGAAAUCGUCUACUAUGGCUCUACGAUCUUGUUGUGUACCUGGCAGUACAAUGAAACUCGGAGACGAUUGGGAAGAACCGAAUUGUACCUUUACUUUUACUAAUGAAUCUUUCCCUGAUUUGGAUAACCUUUUUACGGUUUGUGGUUAAUGACGGGUGCAUACCUCUCUUAUCUAUUGCAGCUGUAUUUAUGAUGUCUUUUCCGGGUCGAACAUCUUUUCUAAAACAAUUUCUUUUUCUUUUCUAAGACAACUUAAAAGGUUUGGGGUUGCCUGGUAAUGUAAAGUUUGGUUCUCGUUCUGGUAAAGCCUCGAUCCUGUCUCUAGUUUCCAGGUCUUGGUUUGAAUGUAGUCUUUUCUAUUUGUUUAGGUUGUUUCAGGCUACUUUGUACGUGCAGUUAUGUUUGGUCACGUAUAGUCUAAUAAUUCUUUCUCUUUUGUAAACUGGGCAUGUACUCUUAAUAAAGGACAUGUGUUCACCCUUACAAUUUACACAUCUAUAUUUAUUUGUAGUGCAGUAUUCUUGACUUUUGCCGUAUUUUGGGCAAAUAUUAACUUUAAAGAGCAAAAUCGUUUAAUAUGUCCAUAUCUCUAGCAUUUAGAGUACUGGGUUACGAGGAACGUAAAAGGUUCUAUAUUCAUACGACACCCAUAUGCUUUCACAUGUUAGAUCCCCUGAAACAGAUACGGAUUUAUUUACUUUCGACCCAUUUACCUUCUUGGUCCCUCUUAUGUAAUCCCUUUGUAGAUAAAAUUUCUGUCUCGCUUUCAAAGAUAUUUAACAGUUCUUCCUCUUCUGUAUCCAUACAAUACCACGUAUCACACCGUAAGUAUAUUUGACUUCCCCUGUAAUUCUGCAUAUCCACUGGUUCUGUAUUAUAAUAUCUCACUCUUCAUGAAUGCUGUAGCCCCCUCACUUGUUUGAAAUCUAAUCCAUAGCUUAAGUAUACUCUUAGAGCUGACUUUCAAAAUAUCUGGGAUAUUUUCGUUUUUCAAUAACAUGCUAUACCUCGCGGUUUAGGUAAAACUUCCUUUGAAGUCACGGAUACCUCGUAAAAAUUCAGUUUUUACAUCAUUCGAUGUAUACAUUUCCUCUCCUUUAGAUGCAGGGCGUGAAGUACCUAAAUUUUUCCUUUUCCUCUUGUUGACCAUUGUAAAGCCUUCAGAGUCAUCCGUGUCUCGAGCCUUUUCUCUUUGCCUCGUAGAAGCCAUCGCGAUUGUAUUGUCAUUCGUAACCUCCAAAUAGACCACUUCCUCAUUCUUCCUGAGCAUGGGUAGCUCCCUAAUAUAGUUCUCCUUAUAUUCGCCGGUGUAAGAUUCUCCAGAUAAUCACAAUCAGGUACAUCUUCCUCCUCUGCAUCACUCAUUAUUCAACUUUCCCAACGUUGAGGGAUUACCGCUACAUCGGUUUCCCAAUUUAAACAGUCCGGUCAAAAAUGUAAUACCUAAUUAAUGUAAUUCACAUUAAUUAUUACAUUGUGGGGAAGGUGGGAAUAUAUGGGCGUAGCUCACGCCCAUAUAUUCCCCGUUAUAGGACGGUCUGAUGGAUUGAAUGUGGAGACAAAGAUGUUAAUAGCACUAUCGUUCUUCGCCACUGGGUGGUACCAGAUGCCAAUUGGCGACAUUUCAUACCACUCCGUUUCCCAAGCCAGUGUUAGUAAAGCACCGGUAGUAGCUGCGCUCAAUAAGCCAGCUAUAUUAAAUAAAUAUGUGCCCUUUCCUUUUAGGCGCGCUGAAAAGGGAUAACAUUAAAAGAUGAUUCUACAGAGUAACGGGAAUGCCAGUGAUUCUGGGUUAUGUUGAUGGCACACAUGCAGCAAUUCUAACUCCCGAAGACCAUGAGGAGCGCUACAUAAAUAGAAAGGGAUAUCAUUCCCUUAAUGUGUUUAUAAUUUGUUUCUCAGACUUAAAUAUAAUGAGCGUGGACUCCAGGAUCCCCAGUUACCCAAGAUCUACACAUGACAGCAAGGUGUGGGAUGGGCACCCUUUAAGACAUUACAUAGAGAACCUACUUGAUGAAGGAGAUGAGGAUCUUUAUAUACUGGGAGAUUCUGGAUAUCCAUUAUGGGCCACCCUUCUCACACCUACAUUAAACGCAGAGCCAGGCAGGCUCCCCAGAGGCCUACUAUACUGGGCUGCAUGUGACUGCACAAUCCACUGUAGAGUGUUGUAUAGGAGAGUUCAAGGCUCGGUUCCAGUAGGUGUCUUUUGGUCGACCGAAAAAUGCAUUAUGGACUAGCAACAGCAGCAAAAAUUGUAAACGCCUGUUGCGUGCGACACAACAUCCCGCAUGGUGCCAAAAUCAAGUACCAUUCACUGACAGCAGGAGAACUCAGGCGCGAGCGUGCGCUCACCCAGCGUGGGUCGUUCCUCCACGCGAUGGAGCAGUAGCCCGCGCAGCACGCGCUCGUCUAAUACGCGCUGGUCGCGAAUGUUGCAAUGCGCUUGUGCCAUUGACUUACAAUUAUAUGGACGUCGGGUCCGCGCUAAAAAGUGUCCGCUAAAAUCGUAUACAGAGCGCGAAACUCCGCUUUAGUCUU